UACGGAGGGUGCGAGCGUUGUCCGGAAUCAUUGGGCGUAAAGGGCGCGUAGGUGGCGGGACAAGCGUGCGGUGAAAGCCUGGGGCUCAACCCCGGGUCGGCCGUGCGAACUGUUUUGCUUGAGCACUGUAGAGUCAGGCGGAAUUCCGGGUGUAGCGGUGGAAUGCGUAGAGAUCGGGAAGAAUACCUGUGGCGAAGGCGGCCAGCUGGGCCAGAUCCGACACUGAGGCGCGAAAGCGUGGGGAGCAAACAGG
This 253-nucleotide ribosomal RNA is filed under the name uncultured bacterium. RNAcentral describes it as "partial 16S ribosomal RNA". It matches the Rfam family "Bacterial small subunit ribosomal RNA", at positions 524 to 776 of the family's 1533-position model. The record is from RNAcentral.